UGGGGAAUUUUGGACAAUGGGCGCAAGCCUGAUCCAGCCAUGCCGCGUGCAGGAUGAAGGCCUUCGGGUUGUAAACUGCUUUUGUACGGAACGAAAAGGUUUGGCCUAAUACGCUGAACUCAUGACGGUACCGUAAGAAUAAGCACCGGCUAACUACGUGCCAGCAGCCGCGGUAAUACGUAGGGUGCGAGCGUUAAUCGGAAUUACUGGGCGUAAAGCGUGCGCAGGCGGUUAUGUAAGACAGAUGUGAAAUCCCCGGGCUCAACCUGGGAACUGCAUUAGUGACUGCAUAGCUGGAGUACGGCAGAGGGGGAUGGAAUUCCGCGUGUAGCAGUGAAAUGCGUAGAUAUGCGGAGGAACACCGAUGGCGAAGGCAAUCCCCUGGGCCUGUACUGACGCU
Molecule: ribosomal RNA, 400 nt
Filed under: uncultured bacterium
Lineage: Bacteria
Description: bacterial SSU rRNA
Rfam family: Bacterial small subunit ribosomal RNA
Source: RNAcentral